This 749-nucleotide long non-coding RNA is filed under the name Physcomitrium patens. RNAcentral describes it as "long non-coding RNA (PPAT_LNC002119)". Lineage: Eukaryota; Viridiplantae; Streptophyta; Bryopsida; Funariales; Funariaceae. The record is from RNAcentral.
AGCGCUCACCAAUCCCUUUUGUUUCCGAUCAGGCUUAGAUGAACGCACAUCGGAGAUCGUAACAAACUGAAGAUGUUCGCGCAAUUGUUCGAUGAUCAGCUUGACAUUAGUGCUCGUUGCAGAUUGAAGCAAAAACUUAAUAACAAGCGGUAAGUCUUCAGCAUCUGCUGUUCGUAAGCUGGACACUGCAACGGUGACAACCUGAACACAAAGCGAUUUCUUUAAAUUGACGAAUCAAUUUGCACCACAGCCUAAAAGCCCACAGCCAAUGUCAACGUGCGAUAAAAUAGACUUGGUCAAAUACUUAAACAAAAAUAACUAAUAACAAGCACUCAACGCAACAAAAGCGAGAUGCUUGAAACUUCUCAUACUUGAAGUUCAGCUUUCUUGAAGUACUAAAUGAGAAUUUCUCUUCAGAAGGAUAUUGUAUGAACUACCCCGAAACACAGAUUCAGCAAGAAGCCUGCCCAAAACGUUCUGAUGUUUUCACCUGCUCAAAAAGUUCAGGCUCAAGAUUCAUAUUCGAAAAGGCGUCCAACACUGGAACUACAAGCUGCAAAUCUUCCUGCACAAAGAAAUUCCAGAUCUGUGAGCAAGGUCCCCAAAGUUUUACAGACAUAAAGAAACCAGUCAUCAUCUUUGACGAAAUAGCAGUAAAUUAAACCCACUUUAGGGAAGUUUCGCGCCUCGUGGCAAAGCAUAAUCACGAAGAAGAUCACCCCUGCAUUUUACCCAACGAUAAGCCACCU